GGAAGUAUAGCUCAGUGGUGGAGCGUGUGCUCAGCAUGCACACGGCCCUAGGUUCUAACCCUAGCACCA
RNAcentral lists this transfer RNA (69 nucleotides) under Heterocephalus glaber (naked mole-rat). It matches the Rfam family "tRNA". Rfam says of the family: Transfer RNA (tRNA) molecules are approximately 80 nucleotides in length. Their secondary structure includes four short double-helical elements and three loops (D, anti-codon, and T loops). The record is from Rfam by way of RNAcentral. Lineage: Eukaryota; Metazoa; Chordata; Mammalia; Rodentia; Bathyergidae.